Molecule: non-coding RNA, 24 nt
Filed under: Arabidopsis thaliana (thale cress)
Lineage: Eukaryota; Viridiplantae; Streptophyta; Magnoliopsida; Brassicales; Brassicaceae
Source: RNAcentral
UGAAUUCGCAAAGUUUUGGCUGAC